RNAcentral lists this ribosomal RNA (253 nucleotides) under uncultured Gammaproteobacteria bacterium. RNAcentral describes it as "partial 16S ribosomal RNA". It matches the Rfam family "Bacterial small subunit ribosomal RNA", at positions 524 to 776 of the family's 1533-position model. Lineage: Bacteria; Pseudomonadati; Pseudomonadota; Gammaproteobacteria. The record is from RNAcentral.
UACAGAGGGUGCAAGCGUUAAUCGGAAUUACUGGGCGUAAAGGGCGCGUAGGUGGAUAAUUAAGUUGGAUGUGAAAUCCCUGGGCUUAACCUGGGAAUGGCAUACGAUACUGGUUGUCUAGAGUCAGGUAGAGGGAAGUGGAAUUUCCGGUGUAGCGGUGAAAUGCGUAGAUAUCGGAAGGAACACCAGUGGCGAAGGCGGCUUCCUGGACCAUGACUGACGCUGAGGCGCGAAAGCGUGGGGAGCAAACAGG